Salvia miltiorrhiza (redroot sage) is the source of this 397-nucleotide long non-coding RNA. RefSeq lists it as uncharacterized. The transcript has 2 exons. Lineage: Eukaryota; Viridiplantae; Streptophyta; Magnoliopsida; Lamiales; Lamiaceae. The record is from RefSeq and is a predicted model, not a curated record.
AUUCAGAUUAUUAAUUCAGAUUAGUUAUUCUUCAUACACGUAGCAUUUAGCUUCCACGCAGCUGCUCACACAAACCGACUCAAGUCAGUAUAAGCUUCAUCCCUCAAGCGUUGAACCAUUUUCUUCAUUCUGCAAAAUCUUAACUACUACUCCAGUAAACAUCCAUCCAACACACAAAUUACACACAAUCAUCCACAGCAGACAUCAAAGAAGGCUAAGCUGUGAUGCAGAUGGAUGUCAGCAGAGCGAAGCUUUGAAACAUAAGUACUAAAUUAGGCUCAGGAUUUCAUGUCUUCAUACAUGUAAUCCGCUUAAGUUACUCCGCUGCAACGCUUAGUGCGUUUUACUUUAUUGAUGUGUUGCAAAGUUUUCAAACUAAUAGCUUUGAGAUUAUGCC